UACGUAGGCGGAAAAUUAAGUCAGUAGUGAAAUCCUGCAGCUUAACUGUAGAACUGUUAUUGAUACUGGUUUUCUUGAAUAUAGUUGAAGUAGGCGAAAUGUGUAAUGUAGCGGUGAAAUGCUUAGAUAUUACACAGAACACCGAUUGCGAAGGCAGCUUACUAAGCUAUGAUUGACGCUGAGGUACGAAAGCGUGGGGAGCGAACAGGAUUAGAUACCCUGGUAGUCC
RNAcentral lists this ribosomal RNA (229 nucleotides) under uncultured bacterium. RNAcentral describes it as "partial 16S ribosomal RNA". It matches the Rfam family "Bacterial small subunit ribosomal RNA", at positions 568 to 796 of the family's 1533-position model. The record is from RNAcentral.